RNAcentral lists this long non-coding RNA (247 nucleotides) under Homo sapiens (human). Its description in RNAcentral is "HSALNT0246216". Lineage: Eukaryota; Metazoa; Chordata; Mammalia; Primates; Hominidae. The record is from RNAcentral.
UCCAGCGUCCACUCCACAGCUGCAGACGCCCGGCAGACCCUCACCCGAACUCAGGAAGGUGGACAUCCCAGACAGCAGGGAAUAGGGAAACACGUGUUUGCAGUGGAGAAGCAGAGGCCAAGCCGCCCAGGCCUUUCCGGCCAUAGCUUCCUUUUGUGCUGACGGCGUUUGAGCUGAUUCCUUCAGUUAGAAUCCUAAGGGUCUUGGUGCUCUCAGCCCCUGCCCUGCACAGAGUAGCGAUGGAUCC